UACGGAGGGAGCUAGCGUUGUUCGGAAUUACUGGGCGUAAAGGGCUCGUAGGCGGCCAACUAAGUCAGACGUGAAAUCCCUCGGCUUAACCGGGGAACUGCAUCUGAUACUGGAUGGCUUGAGAUUGGGAGAGGGAUGCGGAAUUCCAGGUGUAGCGGUGAAAUGCGUAGAUAUCUGGAGGAACACCGGUGGCGAAGGCGGCAUCCUGGACCGGUAUUGACGCUGAGGCGCGAAAGCCAGGGGAGCAAACGGG
Molecule: ribosomal RNA, 253 nt
Filed under: uncultured bacterium
Lineage: Bacteria
Description: partial 16S ribosomal RNA
Rfam family: Bacterial small subunit ribosomal RNA
Source: RNAcentral